GGGCCUAUAGAUCAGUUGUAGAGCAUUUGAUUGUAGAUCAAGAGGUCACCGGUUUGAACCCGGUUGGGCCCU
Molecule: non-coding RNA, 72 nt
Organism: Picea glauca (white spruce)
Lineage: Eukaryota; Viridiplantae; Streptophyta; Pinopsida; Pinales; Pinaceae
Source: Rfam